AAAAUUUUGGACAGUAGUGCCAUCUGGGGCUUCUGUGUCUUCGCCUAUGAAGGAAAGGUUCCAGUAGCUCAGAGACUACCUCAUUCCCCCAUUCCAAAAAACAAACUUUAUUAAUUCAUCUUCCCUGUGUUCAUUAAUCACAGACUGGGAUGCAAGUGCCCAUCAGGGCUCUGGAUCAGUGUGAGAAGGCCAGCGUGACCACACGACACUGGUAAAUUUCUACACAGAAGCAAAGAAACGCAUUUUAGGUCACCCAAUCUGUCUUAUCUCUGGGAAACAGCUGCUUCUCAUUGAUUCUUUUUUGAAAAACAAAACAAAAAUUGGAGGAACCCCAUUCCUGUCUUCAAGUAUAUCUGGGAGCUUAAGACCCCACAUUAGAAACCAUGAGGCCGAAUAAUCUGGAAGAUGGCUCCCACAUUGAGGGAUAUACAAAAUCUGCUGAUUUUAACCCCCAACCUUCUGCCUGGACGCCUGCCCACAGCUGGCCCUCUCCUCCUCUCUGAAGCCUAUCUGCUCUUUUUUUUUUUUUUUCCUACCUCUUCUGCCUGAGGCCUUCAAGUUAUUCCUCUCCCUUUCCUGACCCAAAGCACAGUUUUCACAGGUGACAAAGGUGAUGAGCUCUGAAGUGAGUAUAUCUUCCUGGGAUGACAGUUUCAUGGGCACAUCCUCAAUAUACACAUUUACUUGCUCCACCAGAAGUCACCAAGAGUCUUCCAAGUGCCAGACCCAUUCCAGGUAUAGGGAUAUAGCAAAGAGCAAACUCAGAACCUCCCACACUCAAGCACUUAUUUCCAAUCCAGGUGGUAGAUAUACACAUAGGCACACACAUGGCACACAAAGAUAGGCCCCCUGACUCAAGCAUCUUUCAGACAAUGAAAUGUAAACUCCAAGUUAGGGUCAAAGUGGAAGGGCUGCUGCAUCCUCUUGUGCAUCAUAGGAAU
Molecule: long non-coding RNA, 941 nt
Filed under: Marmota monax (woodchuck)
Lineage: Eukaryota; Metazoa; Chordata; Mammalia; Rodentia; Sciuridae
Source: RNAcentral